UACGGAGGGAGCUAGCGUUGUUCGGAAUUACUGGGCGUAAAGCGCGCGUAGGCGGCUUUGUAAGUUAGAGGUGAAAGCCCGGGGCUCAACUCCGGAAUUGCCUUUAAGACUGCAUCGCUCGAAUUGUGGAGAGGUAAGUGGAAUUCCGAGUGUAGAGGUGAAAUUCGUAGAUAUUCGCAAGAACACCAGUGGCGAAGGCGGUUGCCUGGAGCUUUGCUGACGCUCAGGCACGAAAGCGUGGGGAGCAAACAGG
RNAcentral lists this ribosomal RNA (253 nucleotides) under uncultured bacterium. RNAcentral describes it as "partial 16S ribosomal RNA". It matches the Rfam family "Bacterial small subunit ribosomal RNA", at positions 524 to 776 of the family's 1533-position model. The record is from RNAcentral.